AGCAGCCGCGGUAAUUCCAGCUCCAAUAGCGUAUAUUAAAGUUGUUGCAGUUAAAAGCUCGUAGUUGAAUUUCGAGACCGGUUUACUGGUCGUGCUUUUGUACGUACUGGUAUUAUUGGUUUCUCCUUUCUGACGAAUCUUAAUGCCGUUAAUUUGGUGUUUUGGGGAAUCAGGACUGUUACUUUGAAAAAUUAGAGUGUUUAAAGCAGGCUCACGCUUGAAUACAUUAGCAUGGAAUAACGGAAUAGGACGUUUGAUUCUAUUUUGUUGGUUUCUAGGAUCGACGUAAUGAUUAAUAGGGAUAGGUUGGGGCAU
This 315-nucleotide unclassified non-coding RNA is filed under the name uncultured Glomus. Its description in RNAcentral is "SSU rRNA". It matches the Rfam family "Eukaryotic small subunit ribosomal RNA", at positions 569 to 891 of the family's 1831-position model. Lineage: Eukaryota; Fungi; Glomeromycota; Glomeromycetes; Glomerales; Glomeraceae. The record is from RNAcentral.